Molecule: long non-coding RNA, 1066 nt
Organism: Haliaeetus leucocephalus (bald eagle)
Lineage: Eukaryota; Metazoa; Chordata; Aves; Accipitriformes; Accipitridae
Exons: 3
Source: RefSeq, a predicted model, not a curated record
GCCUCGGCCCGGGCAGCGUGUGGAGGGGAAGGGACGAGGUUCAGUUCCUGCCCCUCGCUUUCCCCUUCGGGAUAGCCGCACACGGGGUGGGGGGAACCGGGCACCACCAAGCCAGGCUGCUCCUACCCUCCCUCCUUCCUUCCUUCCUUCCUCCCCUGCACAUCUCAGCCUCCUCCUCCUCCUCCAUCCAUCCAUCCCCGGGGGUGAGCCUUUGAAUGAGCAGCACUGUGGCUAGCCCGAUGUCAACAGUUGCCUCUUCAAGCAGUGGAAGGAAAUCAACAAGCUUUACACCUGAAUUGCAAAGUAUGAUCCUGUACCUUGAAGACCAUCAGUGUGGAUGCAGGAAUGGGCCACGUACAGCAUUCCUGAAGUUACUGGAAUUCAUCUGAUGUGCAGGGAAGUAGCUGUGAGGACACAGUUGUAGGAAGAAAACCUUAAAUAUCUGCCUAAACUGGAUGCUUUUCUGAUAUCAGAAUUUUGUAAAAAUACAUAGUUCAAGUAAAUGGGUGGCCAUAUUUAUCUUUCAGGCUUGUGGCAACAUGAAUCAUCAGCUUGAUAAUACAUUACUUAAACUGAAUUAAGAGGCUGAACUAUGUUCAGCCGUAAUGCCCAUAUUGUAUCUGGUAACAUUCUGAAUGAAGUGCAUUAAAAGCUACCUUUUCCCUCCCCUUUGUGUGUAACUUGAAUAUAUAUAGUAUAAAUUAAACCAAGUUUCUUAAUUAGCUCAUAAGGUAGGCUUCAUAUAAAAAAUCAAAAUUUGAUGUUUCAAGGUUAUAAAGAUAAAUUUAAUGAUGGAGGUAAUGGAGAAAAUGUUUUUAUAGGGUUUAUGUAAGGCUUUCUGGUUAUUCAAUAUAUUUGCCAUAGUUAGUAUUAAAACAAUAGUAUCCAUUAAUAUAAUAUCCAAUUUAGUAUUGCUGCUAAUUGAUUGAUUAUUUCUUUCCAGACAGUGAAAGUCAGUUCAGUUAUUUCAAGUGCAGUUCUUAUUUCAACUUUCUCCAGCUUGUAGCUUAUACCCAUCUCUAUAUACUCCAACGUUGUCUUAGUGUGCAGUAGAGGUCUUAAUAAA